RNAcentral lists this non-coding RNA (186 nucleotides) under Ceratina calcarata. Lineage: Eukaryota; Metazoa; Arthropoda; Insecta; Hymenoptera; Apidae. The record is from RNAcentral.
UGGACGUAGGGCCAUGAGGGGGUAGGUCUUGUCUAUAAGACGAGUACACCUACUGCGGAUUUGUAACCUAACCUAACUAUAUUAUCUUUACGUGGUUUGGUCAAGCUUCUCCUUCCACUGCCAAAAUGCGUAGAAGUAUUCUCAUGGCUCAUAUUUUUGAACUUGUAAGACAUGAAAAUUUAUAUU